CCCUUCCCACUUCCAAUUUCCGGCAUGCGCGACUUCCUGUUCCGGCAAUGGGCUACAAAGCUUUGCGCCGGGGCUGGGGGCUCCCUUUCUCGGAGUCGCUUGUGGGGUGUCUGCUCCCGUGGUGAGCUGCCUCUGAAGUGGCAAAGGGGCCUGUGAGUCAUCCUUUUCCAGAGUUCCAGAAUGGAGACUGAAGGAGACCCAAAGGCA
Molecule: long non-coding RNA, 207 nt
Organism: Myotis myotis
Lineage: Eukaryota; Metazoa; Chordata; Mammalia; Chiroptera; Vespertilionidae
Exons: 2
Source: RefSeq, a predicted model, not a curated record